UACGGAGGGUGCAAACGUUGCUCGGAAUCAUUGGGCGUAAAGCGCACGUAGGCGGUCUUCCAAGUCGGGUGUGAAAGCCCUCGGCUCAACCGAGGAAGUGCAUUCGAAACUGAAAGGCUAGAGUACGGAAGAGGGUCUCGGAAUUCCCGGUGUAGAGGUGAAAUUCGUAGAUAUCGGGAGGAACACCAGUGGCGAAGGCGGAGACCUGGGCCGAUACUGACGCUGAGGUGCGAAAGCGUGGGGAG
Molecule: ribosomal RNA, 245 nt
Filed under: uncultured bacterium
Lineage: Bacteria
Description: partial 16S ribosomal RNA
Rfam family: Bacterial small subunit ribosomal RNA
Source: RNAcentral